RNAcentral lists this transfer RNA (72 nucleotides) under Camelus bactrianus (Bactrian camel). It matches the Rfam family "tRNA". Rfam says of the family: Transfer RNA (tRNA) molecules are approximately 80 nucleotides in length. Their secondary structure includes four short double-helical elements and three loops (D, anti-codon, and T loops). Further hydrogen bonds mediate the characteristic L-shaped molecular structure. tRNAs have two regions of fundamental functional importance: the anti-codon, which is responsible for specific mRNA codon recognition, and the 3' end, to which the tRNAs corresponding amino acid is attached (by aminoacyl-tRNA synthetases). tRNAs cope with the degeneracy of the genetic code in two manners: having more than one tRNA (with a specific anti-codon) for a particular amino acid; and 'wobble' base-pairing, i.e. permitting non-standard base-pairing at the 3rd anti-codon position. RNAcentral also lists the same sequence under 2 other names. The record is from Rfam by way of RNAcentral. Lineage: Eukaryota; Metazoa; Chordata; Mammalia; Artiodactyla; Camelidae.
GAGGGUAUAGCUCAGUGGUAGAGUGCAUGCAUAGUGUGCACAAAGUCCUGGGUUCAAUCCUCAGUACCUCCA